UGGCCGGGGCGGGAACGGGGAGGCGGUGCGUGAGGGGGCAACGGUGGAGCUGUGCCUGAGGCCGGGAUUGCGGAGCUUCCCUGAGGCGGGAAGAGUGGGGGCUUUGGCCGAGGCGGGAAUGGCGGGCCGGUGCCUAAAGCGGGGAUUGCAGGGCUUUGGAUGAGGCGGGGAUUGCGGGGCGUUCCUGAGGCGGGAAUGGGGGGGAAGCUUUGGCUGGGAGGAGCGGGCCGGUGGAGCGGGCCGGUGCUUGAGGCGGGGAUUGCGGGGUUUUCCUGAGGCGGGAAUGGCGGGGCUGUGCCUGAGGCGGGGACUGCGGGGUUUUCCUGAGGCGGGAAUGGCGGGGCUGUGCCUGAGGCGGGGACUGCGGGGUUUUCCUGAGGCGGGAAUGACGGGGCUCUGCCUGAGGCGGGGAUAGCGGGCUUUCCUGAGGCGGGAAUGCCGGGGCUCUGCCUGAGGCGGGGAUAGCGGGCUUUCCUGACGCGGGAAUGCCGGGGCUCUGCCUGAGGCGGGGAUAGCGGGCUUUCCUGACGCGGGAAUGGUGGAGCCUUGCCUGAGGCGGGAGGGCCGGGGCGGUGCCUGAGGCGGGAGGGGCGGGGCCGCCGCGCGUGACCCUGGGGGCGCGGCCGUGGUACGUGCGCUCCGUUCCCAUUGGCCCCGCACCCGGAAGAGCCGCUGGCGCCUGCGCGGUGGGGCCGCCGCCCUGCAUCCCCCUUCCGCCGAGGAGAUGGAGGCGGCGGCGCGGCGGCGGCCGCGGGAGCCGGAACGGCGGGAGCGGGACGAUGGUGGGCGGGUGAUGUCCCCAUCCCUAUCGGGACAGUCCUACUGGCUGGACCUGUGGCUCUUCAUCCUCUUCGACCUGGCGCUUUUCCUGCUUAUCUACCUGCUGCCCUGAAGGCGCGGCCCAGGGCCAUCGCCACCGAGGGAAUUCUCACCUAUUUCGCACCUUACGAACACCGGCGGUGGAGAGGAGGACAAUUUGUGCGGGAUAACCAACAGGGAACACGGCUCCACUUGAGUGUGGGUGGAGGAGGCACAUUUCUGUACUGUGCUAUACCGUGAUGGAGCUCUGUGUGUCACAAGUGUCACUGUUGGGUUUGGCCUGUGUCCUGAGCCGUGCCUUGGAGAUCCCGUACGACAGACUGACUGUGCUUUGUGAUUAGUGCCUAAAGGUUUGUUGGGCAGACAUGGAAGUGUGCACUGUGUGAAUAAAAUCCACUGAAAGAACACCCUGCAGAGUGGCUGAGAAUAAAACCCAGCUCUUCUGUACACUGAAGUUGUAGCUCAGACCUGUGCCCUCAACAGAUGAAGCUUGGCCAGCUGUUCUGCUUCCAAAAAGUUAAUCCUGAUGGGUUGAUGCUGGUUGGUUUUCUAUAAUACAUCUCUCUGUUUUUUCUUUCUUUACUUUCAGCAGUUACUGGGCCCUCUGAGGCUCAGUAUUUAUAGAUAUAAAUAUACACAUAUAUAAACAUGUCAGUGUUUAACCCA
Molecule: long non-coding RNA, 1485 nt
Organism: Melospiza melodia melodia
Lineage: Eukaryota; Metazoa; Chordata; Aves; Passeriformes; Passerellidae
Exons: 2
Source: RefSeq, a predicted model, not a curated record